Molecule: non-coding RNA, 71 nt
Organism: Phrynosoma platyrhinos (Desert horned lizard)
Lineage: Eukaryota; Metazoa; Chordata; Lepidosauria; Squamata; Phrynosomatidae
Source: the annotation of a GenBank genome assembly
GCCAAAGUGGCAUAGCGGUUUGAGCACUGGACUAUGACUCUGGAGACCAUCGUUCAAAUCCCUGAUUGCCA